RNAcentral lists this ribosomal RNA (450 nucleotides) under uncultured bacterium. RNAcentral describes it as "partial 16S ribosomal RNA". It matches the Rfam family "Bacterial small subunit ribosomal RNA", at positions 354 to 796 of the family's 1533-position model. The record is from RNAcentral.
GUGGGGAAUUUUGGACAAUGGGCGCAAGCCUGAUCCAGCAAUGCCGCGUGCAGGAAGAAGGCCUUCGGGUUGUAAACUGCUUUUGUACGGAACGAAACGGUCCGGGUUAAUACCCUGGGCUAAUGACGGUACCGUAAGAAUAAGCACCGGCUAACUACGUGCCAGCAGCCGCGGUAAUACGUAGGGUGCAAGCGUUAAUCGGAAUUACUGGGCGUAAAGCGUGCGCAGGCGGUUUUGUAAGACAGGCGUGAAAUCCCCGGGCUCAACCUGGGAAUUGCGCUUGUGACUGCAAGGCUGGAGUGCGGCAGAGGGGGAUGGAAUUCCGCGUGUAGCAGUGAAAUGCGUAGAUAUGCGGAGGAACACCGAUGGCGAAGGCAAUCCCCUGGGCCUACACUGACGCUCAUGCACGAAAGCGUGGGGAGCAAACAGGAUUAGAUACCCCGGUAGUCC